This 76-nucleotide transfer RNA is filed under the name Alphaproteobacteria bacterium. Its description in RNAcentral is "tRNA-Thr". It matches the Rfam family "tRNA". Rfam says of the family: Transfer RNA (tRNA) molecules are approximately 80 nucleotides in length. Their secondary structure includes four short double-helical elements and three loops (D, anti-codon, and T loops). Further hydrogen bonds mediate the characteristic L-shaped molecular structure. tRNAs have two regions of fundamental functional importance: the anti-codon, which is responsible for specific mRNA codon recognition, and the 3' end, to which the tRNAs corresponding amino acid is attached (by aminoacyl-tRNA synthetases). tRNAs cope with the degeneracy of the genetic code in two manners: having more than one tRNA (with a specific anti-codon) for a particular amino acid; and 'wobble' base-pairing, i.e. permitting non-standard base-pairing at the 3rd anti-codon position. The record is from RNAcentral. RNAcentral also lists the same sequence under 5 other names. Lineage: Bacteria; Pseudomonadati; Pseudomonadota; Alphaproteobacteria.
GCCACCCUAGCUCAGUUGGUAGAGCAACGCAUUCGUAAUGCGUGGGUCGGGAGUUCGAGUCUCCUGGGUGGCUCCA